This is a long non-coding RNA of Esox lucius (northern pike), 1572 nucleotides long. RefSeq lists it as uncharacterized. The transcript has 4 exons. Lineage: Eukaryota; Metazoa; Chordata; Actinopteri; Esociformes; Esocidae. The record is from RefSeq and is a predicted model, not a curated record.
UUUGCCGCUAACCAGCUAGCGCCAGUAGCUUGCUAGUUAGCCAGCUACUAUAGGUUACCUAUGGCUUUCGCUAACCCGUUAGCAUGUUGCGCGCUAUUCUUUGUUUCUGUUUUCGAUUCAUAUAUUUAUUGUGUUUCUGCUUAUAUAAAUUAAACUUACUUACCCUCUCCCCCUCAGCUCCUCUGGCUAUCCCCCAUUCCACUAACAGGUUUAUCAGUCAGGGAUCAGAUGAUCCAAGGAAUUAAUAAAUUAAUUCCAUCAAAAUGGGACAACAUCUCUGAUGAUGAGUAGGGCCGAGCCAGGGAUGCCUGUCCGCGGGAACCAGAGCCGGUGCUAUCUAUAACCUCCAGUACCCAGAAUGGUACAGAAUACCCUGGGCCCGGUCAGUGGACUCAACCUUUAACCACACAACACCUUCCAUGGGAGGAACUGAACCUACUCCCUCCUCACCCUUCUGGCUGCUUCUUCCCUUACAUGGAUUUCCACACAUCCUGUAACACUCUGGCAGGAUACUACGUUGAUCUGUGGACAUUUAUGGCACUUGCAUUCUGACAAUCCACUUCAUGACGCAGUCUGUGUAGCCCUCUCCUGGCUGGAUUUGGAACAUAAUGCCACAGUGCACGGAGGGUGAUCAGGCCCAGACUUGCUCUGCUCAUAGAUUCCCAGUGAGCAGAGUAUGGCCUACAUAGGGCUGGCUGGCUGCUUAUCUGCCUAUAUAGGGCACCUAUUUCCAGUAGCCUCCAGUAGCUAGGUGGGACUUGUCCUACGUGCUGGCUGCCAGUGCAUGGAGAUAGUAGUACGUGACCAGGCCAAGGCAUGUGCUCAUGUUCCCAGUGAGGGUUGCCUAUAUGGGGGACCAGAACCCAGGCAAUAUCCAGCCUCCUGUAACUCCCCUGGGUUAGGGUUUUUAUAUAAUUCAUUGUCUUUCUUAUAGAUGUGUGUGUGGAAUUCCCCCUCCCUCAUCCGAUGUUUAGAGGGUCCUCUUGAAAUUAUUUAAGAAUCUGACCCUUUUUAUAACUGCUAUUGCCUGUAUAUUUGUGUGUUACUUUUAGCCACCAGACCUACAAGAUGAAAAAGCCAAUAUGGCUAUUUCUCUCCCCCUCUACAACCGAUUUGAAAGCUAAGGGCAGGGUUCUAAUCUGGGUGAGUUUUCAGUGACUUCUACUUUAAAAAGGGAAGAGAGACAGACUCUUCUUAGGCCCUAAGCUCCUCUGAACCCACAACUUAUCAAGAGUUACUGUAAGUUACUUCAGGUCAUACACCAUUCUGAGAUUUUAGCCCACUCUCAAUCCUGAUUUAGGCCCUCCUGGUAUGACAGAUAGACAGAUAGCAAAGUUGGCAGCCUUUAUUACACCUUCCCUGCCCUCUGUGCAGACCUCUGAGAAAGUUAAACAGAAUACUACACAAUGGAUGGAGGUUAACAUGUUUAUUUUGAGGGAACACUAUGAUACAGUGCUAGCAGAGGGUUUAGAGAAGUUAGAGGACUUUAAUAAAGCAAUAUAAAUCAAAUUUAUUUAUAAAGCCCUUUUUUACAAAAGAAGUGGUCACAAAGUGCUUUUACAGAGACACCCG